CCUACGGGGGGCAGCAGUGAGGAAUAUUGGUCAAUGGACGAGAGUCUGAACCAGCCAAGUAGCGUGAAGGAUGACUGCCCUAUGGGUUGUAAACUUCUUUUAUAUGGGAAUAAAAUGUUCCACGUGUGGGAUUUUGUAUGUACCAUAUGAAUAAGGAUCGGCUAACUCCGUGCCAGCAGCCGCGGUAAUACGGAGGAUCCGAGCGUUAUCCGGAUUUAUUGGGUUUAAAGGGAGCGUAGGUGGAUUGUUAAGUCAGUUGUGAAAGUUUGCGGCUCAACCGUAAAAUUGCAGUUGAAACUGGCAGUCUUGAGUACAGUAGAGGUGGGCGGAAUUCGCGGUGUAGCGGUGAAAUGCUUAGAUAUCACGAAGAACUCCGAUUGCGAAGGCAGUUCACUGGACUGCAACUGACACUGAGGCUCGAAAGUGUGGGUAUCAAACAGGAUUAGAUACCCUAGUAGUC
Molecule: ribosomal RNA, 460 nt
Filed under: uncultured bacterium
Lineage: Bacteria
Description: partial 16S ribosomal RNA
Rfam family: Bacterial small subunit ribosomal RNA
Source: RNAcentral